This is a long non-coding RNA of Homo sapiens (human), 878 nucleotides long. The record is from Ensembl. NCBI's taxonomy places the organism in Eukaryota, Metazoa, Chordata, Mammalia, Primates, Hominidae.
GCUUACCCGCACACAGACGGUUGGCAGAGGAAGAAAGCCUUGUCACACUAAAGGAGAGACAGCGGAUGUUCUGAACAGUCCUGUCGUGAAACGUUAGACAACGUGGACGAAACAGGCACAUUCCUAAGCAUCACACAUUACUGAAACUCAGUCAAGAAGAAAUAGAAAAUCUGAAUACAUCCAUGGCAAGCACAGAAACUGAACUAGGGGAUUCGAAAUCUUCCCACAAAGAAAAGCCUAGGCCCAACUGGCCUCUAUGAUACAGCAAGAAGGUGCCAUCUAUGAAGGAGAAGACAAGCCCUCACCAGACACCAAAUCUGCUGAUGCUUUGAUCUUGGACUUCCCAGCCUCCAGAACUGCUCACACCCCUUUAUUAACUGAAGCUGACUUAACCCGAACUAUCUGAAGCUGACUCAACCCGAACUAUCCGAGAUCACACGUAAAUGUUUUCCUUCUGAUCUCAACUUUUCUCCUUAUCGUGGGGCAUGGAAAGGAGGAGAUCGCAGCAGGGAAGUUUUUGUUCUUGUUCACAUGCUAACAAUGCAAGCAGCACAAAGUACUAUGUUGCUCCCUGAAUAUUUCACCAGAAGGGUUAACUUACAUUACCCUGGAAGGAAGACAAUAAGAAAUGGUGAGCCUGAUGGAAUAGAGAGAGAGGCUGAGGAGUAGUUCUACCUGCCUGUUUUUCCAUGGUGACAGUGGAAUAUUAAUCACAGAUGGAUGAGACUUAACAUUGCUCAGACUAUCAUUAGCUGUUUUCAUCAAUCACUGUCCAGUUAUUGCUAAUCCUCUACCAUUCUCAUCCUGUGGGGGGUGGAAAAUGACAGACUGCGUGUAUCAAGCAAGGUUCCCAGGUACAAGCAACAAGAAAAAAAAAA